AUUGAACGCUGGCGGCAUGCUUUACACAUGCAAGUCGAACGGUAACAGGUCUUCGGAUGCUGACGAGUGGCGAACGGGUGAGUAAUGUAUCGGAACGUGCCCAGUAGUGGGGAGUAACUACUCGAAGAGUGGCUAAUACCGCAUGAGAACUGAGGUUGAAAGACGGGGGACCGUUCGGGCCGUCGCGCUACCGGAGCGGCCGAUAUCAGAUUAGGUAGUUGGUGGGGUAAAGGGACUACCAAGCCGACGAUCUGUAGCUGGUCUGAGAGGACGACCAGCCACACUGGAACUGAGACACGGU
RNAcentral lists this ribosomal RNA (301 nucleotides) under uncultured bacterium. Its description in RNAcentral is "bacterial SSU rRNA". It matches the Rfam family "Bacterial small subunit ribosomal RNA", at positions 30 to 330 of the family's 1533-position model. The record is from RNAcentral.